GCGGUGGAGCAUGUGGUUUAAUUCGAAGCAACGCGCAGAACCUUACCAGCCCUUGACAUCCCGGUCGCGGUUUCCAGAGAUGGAUUCCUUCAGUUCGGCUGGACCCGGUGACAGGUGCUGCAUGGCUGUCGUCAGCUCGUGUCGUGAGAUGUUGGGUUAAGUCCCGCAACGAGCGCAACCCUCGCCCUUAGUUGCCAUCAUUCAGUUGGGCACUCUAAGGGGACUGCCGGUGAUAAGCCGAGAGGAAGGUGGGGAUGACGUCAAGUCCUCAUGGCCCUUACGGGCUGGGCUACACACGUGCUACAAUGGUGGUGACAGUGGGCAGCGAGACCGCGAGGUCGAGCUAAUCUCCAAAAGCCAUCUCAGUUCGGAUUGCACUCUGCAACUCGAGUGCAUGAAGUUGGAAUCGCUAGUAAUCGCGGAUCAGCAUGCCGCGGUGAAUACGCUCCCGGGCCUU
RNAcentral lists this ribosomal RNA (457 nucleotides) under uncultured Mesorhizobium sp. RNAcentral's name for it is "bacterial SSU rRNA". It matches the Rfam family "Bacterial small subunit ribosomal RNA", at positions 929 to 1382 of the family's 1533-position model. Lineage: Bacteria; Pseudomonadati; Pseudomonadota; Alphaproteobacteria; Hyphomicrobiales; Phyllobacteriaceae. The record is from RNAcentral.